GAUAGAGUGGCCGAGCGGUCUAAGGCGCUGGUUUUAGGCACCAGUCUCUUCGGUUUGGUGGGUUCAAAUCCCACUGCUGCCA
RNAcentral lists this transfer RNA (82 nucleotides) under Dreissena polymorpha. It matches the Rfam family "tRNA". From Rfam's summary of the family: Transfer RNA (tRNA) molecules are approximately 80 nucleotides in length. Lineage: Eukaryota; Metazoa; Mollusca; Bivalvia; Myida; Dreissenidae. The record is from Rfam by way of RNAcentral.